CGGACGGGUGGAGUAACGCGUGGGCGAACCUGCCUCGCACUGGGGGAGUAACACUUAGAAAUAGGUGCUAACACCGCAUAGCGGGCGGGGGCGGCAUGCCCCUGCCCUGAAAACCCAGGUGGUGCGAGAUGGGCCCGCGUCUGAUUAGCUGGUUGGCAGGGUAACGGCCUACCAAGGCGACGAUCAGUAGCCGGCCUGAGAGGGUGGACGGCCACAUUGGGACUGAGACACGGCCCAGACUCCUACGGGAGGCAGCAG
RNAcentral lists this ribosomal RNA (258 nucleotides) under uncultured bacterium. Its description in RNAcentral is "partial 16S ribosomal RNA". It matches the Rfam family "Bacterial small subunit ribosomal RNA", at positions 99 to 354 of the family's 1533-position model. The record is from RNAcentral.